GUACUCACUUCGGCAGCACAUAUACUAAAAUUGGAAUGAUACAGAGAAGAUUAGCGUGGCCCCUGCACAAGGAUGACGUGCAUAUUUGUGAAGAGUUCCAUAUUUUU
RNAcentral lists this small nuclear RNA (107 nucleotides) under Cebus imitator (Panamanian white-faced capuchin). The record is from RNAcentral. Lineage: Eukaryota; Metazoa; Chordata; Mammalia; Primates; Cebidae.